UACGGAGGGAGCUAGCGUUGUUCGGAAUUACUGGGCGUAAAGCGCACGUAGGCGGCAUACCAAGUCAGGGGUGAAAUCCCGGGGCUCAACCCUGGAACUGCCCUUGAAACUGGUAAGCUAGAAUCCUGGAGAGGCGAGUGGAAUUCCGAGUGUAGAGGUGAAAUUCGUAGAUAUUCGGAAGAACACCAGUGGCGAAGGCGACUCGCUGGACAGGUAUUGACGCUGAGGUGCGAAAGCGUGGGGAGCAAACAGGAUUAGAUACCCCGGUAGUCCCUGAG
Molecule: ribosomal RNA, 278 nt
Filed under: uncultured prokaryote
Description: partial 16S ribosomal RNA
Rfam family: Bacterial small subunit ribosomal RNA
Source: RNAcentral